UACAGAGGUCUCAAGCGUUGUUCGGAUUCAUUGGGCGUAAAGGGUGCGUAGGUGGCGCGCUAAGUCAGGUGUGAAAUUUCGGAGCUUAACUCCGAAACUGCAUUUGAUACUGGCGUGCUUGAGGACUGGAGAGGAGACUGGAAUUCAUGGUGUAGCAGUGAAAUGCGUAGAGAUCAUGAGGAAGACCAGUGGCGAAGGCGGGUCUCUGGACAGUUCCUGACACUGAGGCACGAAGGCCAGGGGAGCAAACCGG
This 253-nucleotide ribosomal RNA is filed under the name uncultured bacterium. RNAcentral describes it as "partial 16S ribosomal RNA". It matches the Rfam family "Bacterial small subunit ribosomal RNA", at positions 524 to 776 of the family's 1533-position model. The record is from RNAcentral.